This 444-nucleotide ribosomal RNA is filed under the name uncultured bacterium. RNAcentral's name for it is "partial 16S ribosomal RNA". It matches the Rfam family "Bacterial small subunit ribosomal RNA", at positions 28 to 523 of the family's 1533-position model. The record is from RNAcentral.
GAUGAACGCUGGCGGCGUGCCCUAUACAUGCAAGUCGAACGUCCGCAAGGACGUGGCGAACGGGUGAGUAACGCGUGGGAACAUACCCAAAGGUACGGAAUAGCCUCGGGAAACUGGGAGUAAUACCGUAUGUGGUCGAGAGACGAAAGAUUUAUCGCCAAAGGAUUGGCCCGCGUCGGAUUAGGUAGUUGGUGGGGUAAUGGCCUACCAAGCCGACGAUCCAUAGCUGGUUUGAGAGGAUGAUCAGCCACACUGGGACUGAGACACGGCCCAGACUCCUACGGGAGGCAGCAGUGGGGAAUCUUAGACAAUGGGGAAACCCUGAUCUAGCCAUGCCGCGUGAUCGAUGAAGGCCUUAGGGUUGUAAAGAUCUUUCAGGUGGGAAGAUAAUGACUGUACCACCAGAAGAAGCCCCGGCUAACUCCGUGCCAGCCGCCGCAGUAA